RNAcentral lists this ribosomal RNA (465 nucleotides) under uncultured bacterium. Its description in RNAcentral is "partial 16S ribosomal RNA". It matches the Rfam family "Bacterial small subunit ribosomal RNA", at positions 28 to 507 of the family's 1533-position model. The record is from RNAcentral.
GACGAACGCUGGCGGCGUGCUUAACACAUGCAAGUCGAACGGAAAGGCCCCUUUGGGGGUCCUCGAGUGGCGGACGGGGGCGGAACACGUGCGUAACCUGCCCUUGACUUCGGGAUAACUUCAGGAAACUGGGGCUAAUACCGGAUAGGAAUACUUGCUGCAAGGGGGGGGUUGGAAAGCUUCGGCGGGUUUGGAUGGACUCGCGGCGUAUCAGCUUGUUGGUGGGGUAGUGGCUUACCAAGGCGUUGACGGGUAGCCGGCCUGAGGGGGCGACCGGCCACACUGGGACCUACGGACGGCCCCGGUUGCGACGGGAGGCAGCAGGGGGGAAGCUUGCCCGAUGGGCGGCAGCCGGAUGCAGCAGGGCCUCGGGUGGUAAGACUGUCUUAGGGUUGUAAACCGCAUUCAGCAGGGGCGAAGCUUGUGGUGACGGUACCUGCAGAAGAAGCACCGGCUAACUACGUG